GGGACUUCGGUUCCGCACGUCGUCAUGUUGUUGGAUGGCACCAGUAUGUGACGUUCCUAGGAACUUAGCUCUGAGGAAAAAACAAAGCAAACCGGGGAAGUACGUAGCCUUGAACCGGAGUAACCAGGGACAGAAAGGAAGGAAAAGGGUUUCAUACCUUCACGGAACGACGCUCACUUCGUCCGCCUGAGGAGGAAAAAUAAGUUUAAACCUUUCUGUGAAAAAGAACGUGGAGCCCUUUCUGCCGAAUGGAAACCCGCUAAACCCCGUUAUGGAGUCUGCUACAAUUAAGCAUCUAACCAGGAAUUGUCUAUGGACACAACUCUCCAGGCAAUUCAUGCAGAAAGUGUGUUGACGAUUUCCUGUUUCUUGCAGAGCGCUUCACCGUUAAGGCUCUUAGUAGCUGGCGAUUGUAAAGCACAUUUUCCGCUUCAUGAAAAUACAGUGCUCUUCUUGUGUUUGUAA
RNAcentral lists this long non-coding RNA (465 nucleotides) under Homo sapiens (human). RNAcentral's name for it is "non-protein coding lnc-CFAP36-3:1". The record is from RNAcentral. Lineage: Eukaryota; Metazoa; Chordata; Mammalia; Primates; Hominidae.